This 496-nucleotide ribosomal RNA is filed under the name uncultured bacterium. Its description in RNAcentral is "partial 16S ribosomal RNA". It matches the Rfam family "Bacterial small subunit ribosomal RNA", at positions 29 to 507 of the family's 1533-position model. The record is from RNAcentral.
AUGAACGCUGGCGGCGUGCCUAAUACAUGCAAGUCGAGCGAACAGACGAGGAGCUUGCUCCUCUGACGUUAGCGGCGGACGGGUGAGUAACACGUGGAUAACCUACCUAUAAGACUGGGAUAACUUCGGGAAACCGGAGCUAAUACCGGAUAAUAUAUUGAACCGCAUGGUUCAAUAGUGAAAGACGGUUUUGCUGUCACUUAUAGAUGGAUCCGCGCCGCAUUAGCUAGUUGGUAAGGUAACGGCUUACCAAGGCAACGAUGCGUAGCCGACCUGAGAGGGUGAUCGGCCACACUGGAACUGAGACACGGUCCAGACUCCUACGGGAGGCAGCAGUAGGGAAUCUUCCGCAAUGGGCGAAAGCCUGACGGAGCAACGCCGCGUGAGUGAUGAAGGUCUUCGGAUCGUAAAACUCUGUUAUUAGGGAAGAACAAAUGUGUAAAUAACUAUGCACGUCUUGACGGUACCUAAUCAGAAAGCCACGGCUAACUACGUG